AGACCCAUUGACUCCUUCCUUUGAAAUCAAAUUCACAAGUAAGUUGAGCAUACUUCUUGAUUGGUAAAGUUACCAAUGAUCUUCAUUAUAAUAUAUAUAUAUAUAUAUAUAGACAUGUAUAUAUCAAUUUUAAAAUCUAUCAGGAUGUAGGUAUGGGGUGGACACAUGAUCAACUUCCUUGAAGAUCAUCAUGGUAGAUUUGACAUGUGCCAACCUCUAUACUUAUCCUGGUCCCAAUAAAUUGGAUUCAUCAGCAGUGGUGAUUCUUUGGUGCCAAUUCAUCAUUUAUAUGACAUUAACAAGAGGAUUUUAAUUUGUAUCUAUGUCCAUUAAACCAUUAUAUUUUUAGACCAUGA
Long non-coding RNA from Saccostrea cuccullata (small rock oyster), 356 nucleotides. RefSeq lists it as uncharacterized. NCBI's taxonomy places the organism in Eukaryota, Metazoa, Mollusca, Bivalvia, Ostreida, Ostreidae. The transcript is spliced from 2 exons. The record is from RefSeq and is a predicted model, not a curated record.